This is a small nuclear RNA of Pteronotus mesoamericanus, 125 nucleotides long. The record is from RefSeq and is a predicted model, not a curated record. NCBI's taxonomy places the organism in Eukaryota, Metazoa, Chordata, Mammalia, Chiroptera, Mormoopidae.
GUUUUGUAGAAAAGGAGAGAAGGCUAGCACUUGCCUUGACAAGGAAGGAAGAGGCCCUUGGGCCUAACAAUAUGCAUAUGGUUAAGGCAUUGCCACCUACUUCGUGCAUCUAACCUCUCUUUUUA